CAUGGGUCCCUUCGCAAUGAUCGGUUGUAAACUCCGCCAGGCCCGGAAGGGAGCAACGGUGACAACAAAAUCAGGUGCUGAAGUCAGGCUGGUGUGG
This 97-nucleotide signal recognition particle RNA is filed under the name Coxiella sp. RIFCSPHIGHO2_12_FULL_44_14. Its description in RNAcentral is "signal recognition particle sRNA small type". It matches the Rfam family "Bacterial small signal recognition particle RNA". Rfam says of the family: The signal recognition particle (SRP) is a universally conserved ribonucleoprotein involved in the co-translational targeting of proteins to membranes. Archaeal SRP consists of a 7S RNA and homologues of the eukaryotic SRP19 and SRP54 proteins. Lineage: Bacteria; Pseudomonadati; Pseudomonadota; Gammaproteobacteria; Legionellales; Coxiellaceae. The record is from RNAcentral.